UGCGUCCUCGGGAGGCAGCAGUGGGGAAUAUUGGUCAAUGGUCGGGAGACUGAACCAGCCAAGCCGCGUGAGGGAUGAAGGUACAGAGUAUCGUAAACCUCUUUUGUCAGGGAACAAAGGCGGGGACGUGUCCCCGGAUGAGUGUACCUGAAGAAAAAGCAUCGGCUAACUCCGUGCCAGCAGCCGCGGUAAUACGGAGGAUGCGAGCGUUAUCCGGAUUUAUUGGGUUUAAAGGGUGCGCAGGCGGUCUGUUAAGUCAGCGGUCAAAGCCCGGGGCUCAACCCCGGCCCGCCGUUGAAACUGGG
This 305-nucleotide ribosomal RNA is filed under the name uncultured bacterium. Its description in RNAcentral is "bacterial SSU rRNA". It matches the Rfam family "Bacterial small subunit ribosomal RNA", at positions 334 to 637 of the family's 1533-position model. The record is from RNAcentral.